AAACUACAAUAACCUCACUGUGAGUAGCUGAAGCACCGCAGGUCAAAGGACCAGUCAUACUACUGCAACAUCAAGCAAGUCACUGACAAGUGGAUAGACAUCCAAGUGACUUCUUGUUUUGGUCACGCUCAGUAUCCUUGUUUUCUAACAAGCACCUGUACUAUCACUUCAGUGUCCCUACACUGUGGACUCAAGUCUCGUCCAUCCAGAAGGAAAGUGAUCUGUGCACUGAUCGGAUCGAUCACCGUCCUCGUGAUGAUCCAUUGAUCAGGAGCAUUUAG
Molecule: long non-coding RNA, 281 nt
Filed under: Phoenix dactylifera (date palm)
Lineage: Eukaryota; Viridiplantae; Streptophyta; Magnoliopsida; Arecales; Arecaceae
Description: long non-coding RNA (PDAC_LNC011281)
Source: RNAcentral